Molecule: ribosomal RNA, 1644 nt
Filed under: Triticum aestivum (bread wheat)
Lineage: Eukaryota; Viridiplantae; Streptophyta; Magnoliopsida; Poales; Poaceae
Description: partial small subunit ribosomal RNA
Source: RNAcentral
AUGGCCUCCGGCGGCAACGACCGUCUCUCCGGCCUCAGCGACCACCUCCUGCGCCGCGUCCUCCGCUUCCUCCCCGUCAGGGAGGGCGCGCUCACCACCGCGCUCUCGAGGCGGUGGCGCCCGCUCUGGCUCUCCUGCGGCGUCUGGCGCUCCGGCAGCACCCUCAACCUCGUGGGGCGCGCCUACGAGGACAAGGACGACGACCCCCACGCCCUCUACAGCGACGAAGCCCGCCGUCACUUCUACGCCAGGCGCGACGCCUUCGUCUCCGCCGCCCACGAGGCGCUCGACGCCGCCCACAAGGCGGCUGAAGCCGACGGCGAGAGUCCCAUCAGGGCGCUCACCAUCCGCGUGGAGGCCAACGGCGCCAGCAAGAUCCACGAUUUCCUGCACCGCGACAUGGACUACAAACACCACGACGUGCUCGCCGGCUUGCUCUCCCACCCGGCGGCGCGCAGCGUUGAGGAGCUCCGGAUCGCCGCGGUGGACUCCGUCGACGGGAAGCCCAUGUACUUCGAGAGAAGCAAGUAUGAGGCCAGCGCCAACAUUCGUGGGCUUGGGAUCUACCCGCUCGGUCUCGGCUCCCUGCCCUCAGAGACCCUCCGCGUCCUGGAGCACACCAACUGCAGCAGCCUCACCCCGGCCGCCGCCGGCGCGUUUUUCACUCGGUUGUCGUCGUUGCGGAUGCGACACUGCAAUGUUCCCUUUGAGGAACUUCAGCGCAUCGUCGACGCCGCGCCAUUGCUAGCCUUCAUCCAUCUUGAGGCCAUACUCCUCGAGGAGGAACGCCGGUCGAACAACACUGAAGGUAUCUCGCCACCGCCGCCGGAAAAAGGCGAGCUCCGCUCUCUCAGCUUCCCGGCGGCCACCGCACUCGUGCUUGACAAGUGCUCCUUGAAGGAGGAGGGCACCAUGGAGAUCUACGCGCCGAUGUUGCGCCACUUCCGGUACCAAGGGGUCGUCCGACAUAUCUCGCUGAAACCGCCGCCGCCGCUGUUGGCUCGGGCGGAACUGACUCUCCUUGAGCACGGCUACAAACGACAUAGGGACCCACACACGGCCCGCCGGAGCUUCUGGGGAACAGUCCAAGGUUUCAUCCACGCCAAGGAGAUGAAGUUGAGGGUGCGCCAUCUGGAGGAGAUUGCCAUCACCAACGAGACAAGAAAAGCCAAGCUCCUGCCCGAGCUCCGCAGCCUCGAGCACCUAGAGCUCGUGGGAGUGUACACGCCUACUGGCAAGACGGCGGCGGUGGUGAUCGCGAACCUACUCUGCUGCAGCCCGUCGCUGCGCGACCUCGAGAUCAAGCUCAGCACGGCGCAUGAAGAUACUAACAAGAGCAUCUAUUACGGGUUCGAUUUCCUAAAAAGAAAAUACCCAUCCCAGUUCGAAGAGUCCGUCCGUCGUUCCAAGCGUCGCAGAUCACAGUCGAUGGUGGCCGUAGACGAGGAUGACGGUGUUAACUACGAUGGGGCUUCUGAUCUGCGUGGCCGCUCGUUCGAAUGCUUGCGGAGGAGCUUAAGAAGAGUCGGCCUGCAAUUCCAGCAGGAGAAGACGAACUGCUUUGGAGUCAGGCUCAUCAAAUUCUUCGCCGAAAAUGCCAAGUCCUCCAUCGACGAACCAGCAAUGGCCGGAACGCUAAGGUAA